GGGCCCGUAGCUCAGCUGGUUAGAGCGUUAGUAUGGCAUACUAAAGGUCGCGGGUUCGAGCCCCGCCGGGUCCACCA
RNAcentral lists this transfer RNA (77 nucleotides) under Parcubacteria group bacterium. RNAcentral describes it as "tRNA-Ala". It matches the Rfam family "tRNA". From Rfam's summary of the family: Transfer RNA (tRNA) molecules are approximately 80 nucleotides in length. Their secondary structure includes four short double-helical elements and three loops (D, anti-codon, and T loops). Further hydrogen bonds mediate the characteristic L-shaped molecular structure. tRNAs have two regions of fundamental functional importance: the anti-codon, which is responsible for specific mRNA codon recognition, and the 3' end, to which the tRNAs corresponding amino acid is attached (by aminoacyl-tRNA synthetases). tRNAs cope with the degeneracy of the genetic code in two manners: having more than one tRNA (with a specific anti-codon) for a particular amino acid; and 'wobble' base-pairing, i.e. permitting non-standard base-pairing at the 3rd anti-codon position. The record is from RNAcentral.